GUGCCACUAUCCGCGGUAAUACGAACGGGGCUAGCGUUGCUCGCAUUUACUGUGCGUAAAGGCCGCGCAUGCGGCGGCCCAGUCAGGCGUGAACUUCCUGGGCUCAACCUGGGGACUGCGCUUGAUACUGGGUUGCUUGAGGAUGGAAGAGGCUCGUGGAAUUCCCAGUGUAGAGGUGAAAUUCGUAGAUAUUGGGAAGAACACCGGUGGCGAAGGCGGCGAGCUGGUCCAUUACUGACGCUGAGGCGCGACAGCGUGGGGAGCAAACAGGAUUAGAUACCCUGGUAGUCC
This 291-nucleotide ribosomal RNA is filed under the name uncultured microorganism. RNAcentral describes it as "partial 16S ribosomal RNA". It matches the Rfam family "Bacterial small subunit ribosomal RNA", at positions 505 to 796 of the family's 1533-position model. The record is from RNAcentral.